CUGGUAUAUAAUCCUUUUGAGACUUGACCUUUCUUGAGGAUAGAGCCAGGAGUGUCUGCCUGGCCUGUGAACGAUGCUGGGAGGAUCUCAGAGGAGGAGGCAAAUGCAUGUGUUAAACUGGAUUCCUGGGGCUCUGCUGUGCAUCUGAAGUUGGGUAUUCCAUGUCUGGGAUAUCUCUCCCCAACACAGGAGACAUGGAAAUGCAAACCCUCCAAGGACUGCGAAUUUCAUGCCAGCAGCUGACCCUUCGCCAGCCGCCUAGGGUGGGAGAGAUGAAGGGUCCUCUGUGUGUUUCAAGGGAUGAGACAAGAUACACCGGUGGGGCCAGAAGUUCCCUCAGAGGACUAGGAGGUUUGGCCAGCUUUGCCCACACUGAGGGACCAGAGGGUCAUUCUUCCUGGUGCUUCUGUGCUUCUUCAGAGGAGUCCAGGUGGUUCCUAGAAUGGUGAUGCCAAGUACAGGAAGUAGAAGAGAGUCCAAAGCUGCUUUGGGAAGCCUUCCUUUAACUCAUGCUAUGAGAAGUUGGGUGGCCUAGGUUCAGAACCAGGGUGCGUCUCUAAUGCUGUGCAAACUCGGGUGAAUCCUCUCUGGAAUUCACAGAUUCAAGCAAGGACCUGUCACAUAAGAAAUGCUCGAAGUAACUAAGCUGAAGCUGAUGUUUACCGUCCCGGGCAUGUGUCAUCUUCUAUUUAUGCAUGCAAAACCUGCAAGUCUAUUGUUACAUAUAUUUCAAAAGUUUAUAUAAAUGGUAUAAUACUGUACACAUUUCUUUGCCAUUUAUUUUUUCAUUCCAUAUUUAUGUUCUGGAGAUUUACCAUAUUGGGAACAUGUUGAUCUAGUUUGUUCAUUUUAACUGUGAUAGAUGAUUUCAUUGUGUUUAUAAAGCAGCUUAUUUUCCUGUUCUCUUGCUGAGAGGCAGUUAGACUGCUCCUCACUUUUCUAUCACAUACUAAGAUGUGGUGAAUAUCCUUGACCACAUAUCCUUUUGCACAUGAAUAUGAGUUUCUCCAGGGCUUCCCAAGUGGUGCUAGUGGUAAAGAACCCACCUGCCAAUGGAAGAGACAUAGAUUCAGGUUCGACCCCUGGGUUGGGAAGAUCCCCUGGAGGAGGGCAUGGCAACCCACUCCAGUAUUCUUGUCUGGAGGAUCCCAUGGACAGAAGAGCCACAGUCCAUAGGGUCGCAAAGAGUCAGACACAACUGAAGUGACUUGGCAUGCACACACACCUGAGUUUCUCUAGGAUGCAUGGAAAACACUCUGGGUUCUGCACCCAGAUUCUAUGACCUGCAGGUGCAACUCAUCCCCCAGCUGCUGUGAGUGCUGGCUGCUAGGGAUUCACAGCUGCUCACAGCUUCUUGGGAACUUCUUUAUUCAGGAAGUUAUAAGUUACCCACCACCUUGCCCCCUACAUUGGGCAGCCCACAGUCAAUGACUGAUGGAUACAGCCAAUGACUGAUGGAUAAGUCUUAUCCGUCAAUGACUGAUGGAUAAGCCAAUGACUGGUGCAAAAGCCUGGCCUCUUUGCCUCAAGGCAGAUUCACUCUGCAACGUUACUAAUGCUUCAGAGCUCCCCAUGGGGUCAGAUUGAAGAUAAUCUCCAGCUGAGAACCUACCAUCACUUAACAUUUCUUCCUAUCCUAUCUGCCUGACCCUCUCUCUCCACCUGAGAGUCCUCCCUCUAGAAACCACCUGCACAAGGAUCUCGGGCACUGCUUAGGGGACCUAACUUCAGACAGGCAC
Molecule: long non-coding RNA, 1739 nt
Organism: Bos taurus (domestic cattle)
Lineage: Eukaryota; Metazoa; Chordata; Mammalia; Artiodactyla; Bovidae
Source: Ensembl